This 450-nucleotide ribosomal RNA is filed under the name uncultured bacterium. RNAcentral's name for it is "partial 16S ribosomal RNA". It matches the Rfam family "Bacterial small subunit ribosomal RNA", at positions 354 to 796 of the family's 1533-position model. The record is from RNAcentral.
GUGGGGAAUCUUCCGCAAUGGACGAAAGUCUGACGGAGCGACGCCGCGUGAGUGAAGAAGGCCUUCGGGUCGUAAAGCUCUGUCAUCAGGGACGAACGGCCGGUGGAGUGGAAAGCCACCGGAUUGACGGUACCUGAGAAGGAAGCCACGGCUAACUACGUGCCAGCAGCCGCGGUAAUACGUAGGUGGCAAGCGUUGUCCGGAAUUAUUGGGCGUAAAGCGCGCGCAGGUGGGAUCUUAAGUCCAUUUUUAAAGUUCGGAGCUCAACUCCGUGAUGGGAUGGAAACUGGGAUUCUUGAGUACCGGAGAGGAAAGCGGAAUCCCCCGUGUAGCGGUGAAAUGCGUAGAUAUGGGGAGGAACACCAGUGGCGAAGGCGGCUUUCUGGACGGUGUCUGACAUUGAGGCGCGAAAGCCAGGGGAGCGAACGGGAUUAGAAACCCUUGUAGUCC